Molecule: ribosomal RNA, 319 nt
Filed under: uncultured eukaryote
Lineage: Eukaryota
Description: partial 18S ribosomal RNA
Rfam family: Eukaryotic small subunit ribosomal RNA
Source: RNAcentral
CCCUUAGAUGUUCUGGGCAGCACGCGCGCUACAAUGGUCUUCGCAAACGGAUGCAUUCUCGAAGGAGAAUGCCAAUCUUGGAAUCUAUGCCUUGGUCGGGACAGUUGCUUGCAAUUUUUCGACUCGAACCAGGAAUUCCUUGUAAUCGUGAUUCAUCACAUCACGAUGAAUACGUCCCUGCCCUUUAUACACACCGCCCGUCGCUCCUACCGAUCGAAGAGUUAGGUGAAUUGUUUUGAUCGAUAAGAUUUGACUAUGGUCAACUCUCGUUGGGAAAUUCUGUGAAUCUGACUGUUUAGAGGAAGGAAAAGUCGUAACA